RNAcentral lists this ribosomal RNA (606 nucleotides) under uncultured Flavobacteriia bacterium. RNAcentral describes it as "bacterial SSU rRNA". It matches the Rfam family "Bacterial small subunit ribosomal RNA", at positions 35 to 632 of the family's 1533-position model. Lineage: Bacteria; Pseudomonadati; Bacteroidota; Flavobacteriia. The record is from RNAcentral.
GCUAGCGGCAGGCUUAACACAUGCAAGUCGAGGGGUAACAGGAUUUAGUUUACUAGAUUGCUGACGACCGGCGCACGGGUGAGUAACGCGUAUACAAUUUGCCUUUUACUGGAGGAUAGCCCAGAGAAAUUUGGAUUAAUACUCCAUAGUAUUAUUUGGUCACCUGAUCGAGUAAUUAAAGUUCCGGCGGUAAAAGAUGAGUAUGCGUCCUAUUAGCUAGAUGGUAAGGUAACGGCUUACCAUGGCGACGAUAGGUAGGGGUCCUGAGAGGGAGAUCCCCCACACUGGUACUGAGACACGGACCAGACUCCUACGGGAGGCAGCAGUGAGGAAUAUUGGGCAAUGGAGGCAACUCUGACCCAGCCAUGCCGCGUGCAGGAAGACUGCCCUAUGGGUUGUAAACUGCUUUUAUACAGGAAGAAACUUAUCCACGUGUGGAUAACUGACGGUACUGUAAGAAUAAGGACCGGCUAACUCCGUGCCAGCAGCCGCGGUAAUACGGAGGGUCCAAGCGUUAUCCGGAAUCAUUGGGUUUAAAGGGUCCGUAGGCGGGCAAUUAAGUCAGAGGUGAAAUCCCACAGCUCAACUGUGGAACUGCCUUUGAUA